Molecule: ribosomal RNA, 282 nt
Filed under: uncultured bacterium
Lineage: Bacteria
Description: partial 16S ribosomal RNA
Rfam family: Bacterial small subunit ribosomal RNA
Source: RNAcentral
UUACCCUACGGGACGCAGCAGUGAGGAAUAUUGGUCAAUGGCCGAGAGGCUGAACCAGCCAAGUCGCGUGAGGGAAGACGGCCCUACGGGUUGUAAACCUCUUUUGUCGGGGAGCAAAGCGAGUCACGUGUGACUCAUUGAGUGUACCCGAAGAAAAAGCAUCGGCUAACUCCGUGCCAGCAGCCGCGGUAAUACGUAGGUGGCAAGCGUUGUUCGGAAUAACUGGGCGUAAAGGAUGCGUAGGCGGUUAAACAAGUUAUAUGUUAAAUAUAUAGGCUUAAC